RNAcentral lists this ribosomal RNA (465 nucleotides) under uncultured Klebsiella sp. Its description in RNAcentral is "bacterial SSU rRNA". It matches the Rfam family "Bacterial small subunit ribosomal RNA", at positions 338 to 795 of the family's 1533-position model. Lineage: Bacteria; Pseudomonadati; Pseudomonadota; Gammaproteobacteria; Enterobacterales; Enterobacteriaceae. The record is from RNAcentral.
CCUACGGGCGGCUGCAGUGGGGAAUAUUGCACAAUGGGCGCAAGCCUGAUGCAGCCAUGCCGCGUGUGUGAAGAAGGCCUUCGGGUUGUAAAGCACUUUCAGCGGGGAGGAAGGCGGUGAGGUUAAUAACCUCAUCGAUUGACGUUACCCGCAGAAGAAGCACCGGCUAACUCCGUGCCAGCAGCCGCGGUAAUACGGAGGGUGCAAGCGUUAAUCGGAAUUACUGGGCGUAAAGCGCACGCAGGCGGUCUGUCAAGUCGGAUGUGAAAUCCCCGGGCUCAACCUGGGAACUGCAUUCGAAACUGGCAGGCUAGAGUCUUGUAGAGGGGAGUAGAAUUCCAGGUGUAGCGGUGAAAUGCGUAGAGAUCUGGAGGAAUACCGGUGGCGAAGGCGGCCCCCUGGACAAAGACUGACGCUCAGGUGCGAAAGCGUGGGGAGCAAACAGGAUUAGAUACCCUUGUAGUC